Molecule: ribosomal RNA, 253 nt
Filed under: uncultured bacterium
Lineage: Bacteria
Description: partial 16S ribosomal RNA
Rfam family: Bacterial small subunit ribosomal RNA
Source: RNAcentral
UACGUAGGGGGCUAGCGUUGUCCGGAAUCAUUGGGCGUAAAGAGCGUGUAGGCGGCCCGGUAAGUCCGCUGUGAAAGUCGGGGGCUCAACCCUCGAAUGCCGGUGGAUACUGUCGGGCUAGAGUGCGGAAGAGGCGAGUGGAAUUCCUGGUGUAGCGGUGAAAUGCGCAGAUAUCAGGAGGAACACCAAUAGCGAAGGCAGCUCGCUGGGACGGUACUGACGCUAAGGCGCGAAAGCGUGGGGAGCGAACAGG